UACGAAGGGGGCUAGCGUUGCUCGGAAUCACUGGGCGUAAAGGGUGCGUAGGCGGUCUUCUAAGUCAGUUGUGAAAUACUUCAGCUUAACUGGAGAGGUGCAAUUGAUACUGGAAGACUUGAGUACUGAUGAGGUAGGCGGAAUGGACGGUGUAGCGGUGAAAUGCUUAGAUAUCGUCCAGAACACCGAUAGCGAAGGCAGCUUACUAAGGAGUAACUGACGCUGAGGCACGAAAGUGUGGGGAUCAAACAGG
Molecule: ribosomal RNA, 253 nt
Filed under: uncultured bacterium
Lineage: Bacteria
Description: partial 16S ribosomal RNA
Rfam family: Bacterial small subunit ribosomal RNA
Source: RNAcentral